CCUACGGGUGGCUGCAGUGGGGAAUAUUGGACAAUGGGCGAAAGCCUGAUCCAGCCAUGCCGCGUGUGUGAAGAAGGCCUUCGGGUUGUAAAGCACUUUCAGUGGGGAAGAAAGCCUUGGGGCUAAUACCCUCGAGGAAGGACAUCACCCACAGAAGAAGCACCGGCUAACUCCGUGCCAGCAGCCGCGGUAAUACGGAGGGUGCGAGCGUGAAUCGGAAUUACUGGGCGUAAAGCGCGCGUAGGCGGUCUGAUAAGCCGGUUGUGAAAGCCCCGGGCUCAACCUGGGAACGGCAUCCGGAACUGUCAGGCUAGAGUGCAGGAGAGGAAGGUAGAAUUCCCGGUGUAGCGGUGAAAUGCGUAGAGAUCGGGAGGAAUACCAGUGGCGAAGGCGGCCUUCUGGACUGACACUGACGCUGAGGUGCGAAAGCGUGGGUAGCAAACAGGAUUAGAUACCCCAGUAGUC
Molecule: ribosomal RNA, 465 nt
Filed under: Vreelandella stevensii
Lineage: Bacteria; Pseudomonadati; Pseudomonadota; Gammaproteobacteria; Oceanospirillales; Halomonadaceae
Description: partial 16S ribosomal RNA
Rfam family: Bacterial small subunit ribosomal RNA
Source: RNAcentral